GUGGGGAAUAUUGGGCAAUGGGCGCAAGCCUGACCCAGCAACGCCGCGUGAAGGAAGAAGGCUUUCGGGUUGUAAACUUCUUUUAUUCGGGACGAUAAUGACGGUACCGAAUGAAUAAGCCACGGCUAACUACGUGCCAGCAGCCGCGGUAAUACGUAGGUGGCAAGCGUUAUCCGGAUUUACUGGGUGUAAAGGGCGUGUAGGCGGGAGUGCAAGUCAGAUGUGAAAACUAUGGGCUCAACCCAUAGCCUGCAUUUGAAACUGUACUUCUUGAGUACUGGAGAGGCAGGCGGAAUUCCGUGUGUAGCGGUGAAAUGCGUAGAUAUACGGAGGAACACCAGUGGCGAAGGCGGCCUGCUGGACAGCAACUGACGCUGAGGCGCGAAAGCGUGGGGAGCAAACAGG
RNAcentral lists this ribosomal RNA (405 nucleotides) under uncultured bacterium. Its description in RNAcentral is "bacterial SSU rRNA". It matches the Rfam family "Bacterial small subunit ribosomal RNA", at positions 354 to 776 of the family's 1533-position model. The record is from RNAcentral.